UAACCAGACUCCUACGGGAGGCAGCAGUGAGGAAUAUUGGUCAAUGGCCGGAAGGCUGAACCAGCCAAGCCGCGUGAGGGAGGAAGGCGCAGAGCGUCGCAGACCUCUUUUGCCGGGGGACAAAAGGCCGGACGGGUCCGGUUCUGAGGGUACCCGGAGAAAAAGCAUCGGCUAACUCCGUGCCAGCAGCCGCGGUAAUACGGAGGAUGCGAGCGUUAUCCGGAUUUAUUGGGUUUAAAGGGUGCGCAGGCGGCGUGUCAAGUCAGCGGUAAAAUGUCGGGGCUCAACCCCAUCCAGCCGUUGAAACUGGGGAUCUAGAGUGUGCGAGAGGUAUGCGGAAUGCGUGGUGUAGUGGUGAAAUGCAUAGAUAUCACGCAGAACCCCGAUUGCGAAGGCAGCAUACCGGUGCACAGCUGACGCUCAGGCACGAAAGCGUGGGUAUCGAACAGGAUUAGAUACCCCCGUACA
Molecule: ribosomal RNA, 468 nt
Filed under: uncultured bacterium
Lineage: Bacteria
Description: bacterial SSU rRNA
Rfam family: Bacterial small subunit ribosomal RNA
Source: RNAcentral